UAGGGAAUCUUCCGCAAUGGGCGAAAGCCUGACGGAGCAACGCCGCGUGAGUGAUGAAGGUCUUCGGAUCGUAAAACUCUGUUAUUAGGGAAGAACAAAUGUGUAAGUAACUAUGCACAUCUUGACGGUACCUAAUCAGAAAGCCACGGCUAACUACGUGCCAGCAGCCGCGGUAAUACGUAGGUGGCAAGCGUUGUCCGGAUUUAUUGGGCGUAAAGCGAGCGCAGGCGGUCAAUUAAGUCUGAUGUGAAAGCCCCCGGCUCAACCGGGGAGGGUCAUUGGAAACUGGUUGACUUGAGUGCAGAAGAGGAGAGUGGAAUUCCAUGUGUAGCGGUGAAAUGCGUAGAUAUAUGGAGGAACACCAGUGGCGAAGGCGACUCUCUGGUCUGUAACUGACGCUGAGGUUCGAAAGCGUGGGUAGCAAACAGG
RNAcentral lists this ribosomal RNA (429 nucleotides) under Bacteroidota bacterium. RNAcentral describes it as "Bacteroidetes bacterium partial 16S ribosomal RNA". It matches the Rfam family "Bacterial small subunit ribosomal RNA", at positions 355 to 776 of the family's 1533-position model. Lineage: Bacteria; Pseudomonadati; Bacteroidota. The record is from RNAcentral.